AGACACUAUAAAGCGAUCAACAAAAAUUCAAUUUUUUACAUGCAAAGAAAGAUAAAAAUGGCAAAAACUUGCAAGCUUGUGUUUGCUUUGAUUUUAUUUGUUUCCCUAUAUCUUGUUUCAAUGAGCGCUGAAUUGGGUGGUCCAUGUCGCAGUGAUGAGGAAUGUCCACAACUCUCUUUAAGAUUUUUCGCGAUCAAGUGUCGUGAAAAUGUAUGUAUAUAUGUUGAUUUGGAUCCAUAUAAACCUCGUGCAGAGAAGAAUCAGUUCCUACACUAGUAAAAAUAUUAUGCAAUAUAAAAUAUGCUUGAUUAUUUCAUAGUUUCUAUUUAGUUAUUACAAUCAAUCCCAAUAAUUGUAUUUUUCAUUUCCUUUCGUAGCUUCACAAACAUUGAAAUUAUGGCUUUAUUAUCUAAGAUGUUGGUAAUAAAUUAAAUAAGUCACUAAAUAAUAUUAUAAUUAGCUUGUUUAUUUCUCUCUUAA
Medicago truncatula (barrel medic) is the source of this 480-nucleotide long non-coding RNA. RefSeq lists it as uncharacterized. The record is from RefSeq and is a predicted model, not a curated record. The transcript has 2 exons. NCBI's taxonomy places the organism in Eukaryota, Viridiplantae, Streptophyta, Magnoliopsida, Fabales, Fabaceae.